AAAAAUUAAAAAAAAAAAAAGGGAAAAAAGACCAAUCAGCAGGUCUCCUAAAGAAGUUUGACGGGGCUGUGCAUGUGUUAAGCUUUCUUCAUCAGCAGCAUUUUCCUAAUUUUCCAAAUCUGAAUGACAUUGCGGAAGAAUUUUAUUUCUGCUGAGAAAUAGGUGAGAGAGAGGAACACGUAGGCAAUGAAGUCAUCUUUCAUAUGAAGAAAUACACUUGACUGGUAUUCUACAACCUAAUUUGCAUUAUAUAUAUAGAUAGAUAUCAUUCAUGAUAGAUUCGAGUCAUAUAUAAAUCAAAAGGAAACAAAUAUAUUCGAAAAAUGAGAAAUAAGAAUCACUACUGUAAUUCUCAUCCGGAACCCAACAUGAAAAAACAUAUAUAAGCACUUACAACGUAAUGGCUGAUGUCAAAAUUGCCAAAUUUUGAAAACGCUUCUGAUUCCCACUGCUAAUGAAAAGCGAAUGGAAAGAAUUCAGUGGGUUAAGGAAGUACUUUUCUGCAUAUUUGCCUAAUUUUCAGCUUGUUACUAAGUUCAUUUUACAUAUAAUUGGCAGUUAUUCUCGUUCACCCCCCCCC
This is a long non-coding RNA of Ziziphus jujuba (common jujube), 580 nucleotides long. RefSeq lists it as uncharacterized. NCBI's taxonomy places the organism in Eukaryota, Viridiplantae, Streptophyta, Magnoliopsida, Rosales, Rhamnaceae. The transcript is spliced from 2 exons. The record is from RefSeq and is a predicted model, not a curated record.